Molecule: ribosomal RNA, 1403 nt
Filed under: Lentilactobacillus kefiri
Lineage: Bacteria; Bacillati; Bacillota; Bacilli; Lactobacillales; Lactobacillaceae
Description: bacterial SSU rRNA
Rfam family: Bacterial small subunit ribosomal RNA
Source: RNAcentral
ACUGCAAGUCGAAGCGUUUCCUUAUUGAUUUUAGGUGCUUGCAUUUAAAUGAUUUAACACGAAACGAGUGGCGAACUGGUGAGUAACACGUGGGUAACCUGCCCUUGAAGUAGGGGAUAACACUUGGAAACAGGUGCUAAUACCGUAUAACAACCAAAACCACAUGGUUUUGGUUUAAAAGAUGGCUUCGGCUAUCACUUUAGGAUGGACCCGCGGCGUAUUAGCUUGUUGGUAAGGUAAUGGCCUACCAAGGCAAUGAUACGUAGCCGACCUGAGAGGGUAAUCGGCCACAUUGGGACUGAGACACGGCCCAAACUCCUACGGGAGGCAGCAGUAGGGAAUCUUCCACAAUGGACGAAAGUCUGAUGGAGCAACGCCGCGUGAGUGAUGAAGGGUUUCGGCUCGUAAAACUCUGUUGUUGGAGAAGAACAGGUGUCAGAGUAACUGUUGACAUCUUGACGGUAUCCAACCAGAAAGCCACGGCUAACUACGUGCCAGCAGCCGCGGUAAUACGUAGGUGGCAAGCGUUGUCCGGAUUUAUUGGGCGUAAAGCGAGCGCAGGCGGUUUCUUAGGUCUGAUGUGAAAGCCUUCGGCUUAACCGGAGAAGUGCAUCGGAAACCAGGAGACUUGAGUGCAGAAGAGGACAGUGGAACUCCAUGUGUAGCGGUGAAAUGCGUAGAUAUAUGGAAGAACACCAGUGGCGAAGGCGGCUGUCUGGUCUGUAACUGACGCUGAGGCUCGAAAGCAUGGGUAGCGAACAGGAUUAGAUACCCUGGUAGUCCAUGCCGUAAACGAUGAGUGCUAAGUGUUGGAGGGUUUCCGCCCUUCAGUGCUGCAGCUAACGCAUUAAGCACUCCGCCUGGGGAGUACGACCGCAAGGUUGAAACUCAAAGGAAUUGACGGGGGCCCGCACAAGCGGUGGAGCAUGUGGUUUAAUUCGAUGCUACGCGAAGAACCUUACCAGGUCUUGACAUCUUCUGCCAACCUAAGAGAUUAGGCGUUCCCUUCGGGGACAGAAUGACAGGUGGUGCAUGGUUGUCGUCAGCUCGUGUCGUGAGAUGUUGGGUUAAGUCCCGCAACGAGCGCAACCCUUAUUGUUAGUUGCCAGCAUUCAGUUGGGCACUCUAGCAAGACUGCCGGUGACAAACCGGAGGAAGGUGGGGAUGACGUCAAAUCAUCAUGCCCCUUAUGACCUGGGCUACACACGUGCUACAAUGGACGGUACAACGAGUCGCGAAACCGCGAGGUCAAGCUAAUUCUUAAAGCCGUUCUCAGUUGGAUUGCGGCUGCAACCCUGCAUGAAGUGAAUCGCGUAAUCGUGGAGGUGAAUACGUCCCGGGCCUUGUACACACGCCCGUCACACCAUGAGAGUUUACACCCAAAGCCAGGUAACCUCGGGCGC